UACGGGGGGGGCAAGCGUUGUUCGGAAUUACUGGGCGUAAAGGGCUCGUAGGCGGCCAACUAAGUCGGAUGUGAAAGCCCGGGGCUCAACCCCGGAACGGCACCCGAUACUGGUUGGCUGGAGACCGAGAGAGGUGAGUGGAAUACCCAGUGUAGAGGUGAAAUUCGUAGAUAUUGGGUGGAACACCGGUGGCGAAAGCGGCUCACUGGCUCGGUUCUGACGCUGAGGCGCGAAAGCGUGGGGAGCAAACAGG
Molecule: ribosomal RNA, 253 nt
Filed under: uncultured bacterium
Lineage: Bacteria
Description: partial 16S ribosomal RNA
Rfam family: Bacterial small subunit ribosomal RNA
Source: RNAcentral